Molecule: long non-coding RNA, 3684 nt
Filed under: Nicotiana tabacum (common tobacco)
Lineage: Eukaryota; Viridiplantae; Streptophyta; Magnoliopsida; Solanales; Solanaceae
Description: long non-coding RNA (NTAB_LNC019649)
Source: RNAcentral
UCUGCGGGAGAAAACAAACGAACGAAAUUUUCUGCCCCAGUUUCACUAGGAAAAUUUCGUUAAUUAUUCGCCAGGAAGUUCAUAAAAUUGAUGAAAGAGGAUAUGCAUGCUCAGUUCAGGGUUGGAGCCCUAAUACCGACUAGCUGGGGAAAGGUUCAGUUUAGGGUUUAAAACCCCAACGCCGAACAAAGGAAGAAUUCAGUUUAGGGUGUAAAACCCUAAUGCUGACUAAAGAAAGAUUCAAUUUAGGGUUUAAAACCCUAAUGCUGAUUAAAAGGAAAAUUCAGUUUAGGAUUUAAAACCCUAAUGCUGAUCACAUGGGAAAGCUCAGUUUAGGGUUUAAAACCCUAAUGCUGGCUGAAAGAAAAAAGUUCAGUUUAGGGUUUAAAACCCUAAUGCUGACUAAAAGGAAAAAGUUCAGUUUAGGGUUUAAAACCAUAAUGUUGACCAAAAGAAAAAUUCAGUUUAGGGUUUAAAACCCUAAUGCUGAUUGCAUGGAAAAGCUCAGUUUAGGGUUUAAAACCCUAAUGUUGGCCGAAUGGAAAAAGUUCAGUUUAGGGUUUAAAACCCUAAUGCUGACUAAAAGGAAAAUUAAGUUUAGGGUUUAAAACCCUAAUGCUGGCUGAAAGGGAAAAGUUCAGUUUAGGGUUUAAAACCCUAAUGCUGACUAAAAGGAAAAUUCAGUUUAGGGUUUAAAACCCAAAUGCUGAUUGCAUGGAAAAGCUCAGUUUAGGGUUUAAAACCCUAAUGCUGAUUGAAAGGAAAAAGUUCAGUUUAGGGUUUAAAACCCUAAUGCUGACUAAAAGGAAAAUUCAGUUUAGGGUUUAAAACCCUAAUGCUGAUUGCACGGGAAAAGCUCAGUUUAGGGUUUAAAACCCUAAUGCUGGCUGAAAAGAAAAAGUUCAGUUUAGGGUUUAAAACCCUAAUGCUGACUAAAAGGAAAAUUCAGUUUAGGGUUUAAAACCCUAAUGCUGAUUACAUGGAAAAAGCUCAGUUUAGGGUUUAAAACCCUAAUGCUGGCGGAAAGGAAAAAGUUCAGUUUAGGGUUUAAAACCCUAAUGCUGAUUGCAUGGAAAAGCUCAGUUUAGGGUUUAAAACCCUAAUGCUGGCUGAAAAGGAAAAAGUUCAGUUUAGGGUUUAAAACCCUAAUGCUGACUAAAAGGAAAAUUCAGUUUAGGGUUUAAAACCCUAAUGCUGAUUGCAUGGAAAAGCUCAGUUUAGGGGUUUAAAACCCUAAUGCUGGCUGAAAGAAAAAAGUUCAGUUUAGGGUUUAAAACCCUAAUGCUGACUAAAAGGAAAAUUCAGUUUAGGGUUUAAAACCCUAAUGCUGAUUAAAAGGAAAAUUCAGUUUAGGGUUUAAAACCCUAAUGCUGAUUGCACGGGAAAAGCUCAGUUUAGGGUUUAAAACCCUAAUGCUGGCUGAAAAGAAAAAGUUCAGUUUAGGGUUUAAAACCCUAAUGCUGACUAAAAGGAAAAUUCAGUUUAGGGUUUAAAACCCUAAUGCUGAUUGCACGGGAAAAGCUCAGUUUAGGGUUUAAAACCCUAAUGCUGGCUGAAUGGGAAAAGUUUAGUUUAGGGUUUAAAACCCUAAUGCUGACUAAAAGGAAAAUUCAGUUUAGGGUUUAAAACCCUAAUGCUGAUUGCAUGGAAAAAGCUCAGUUUAGGGUUUAAAACCCUAAUGCUGGCGGAAAGGAAAAGUUCAGUUUAGGGUUUAAAACCCUAAUGCUGACUAAAAGGAAAAUUCAGUUUAGGGUUUAAAACCCAAAUGCUGAUUGCAUGGAAAAGCUCAGUUUAGGGUUUAAAACCCUAAUGCUGAUUGAAAGGAAAAAGUUCAGUUUAGGGUUUAAAACCCUAAUGCUGACUAAAAGGAAAAUUCAGUUUAGGGUUUAAAACCUUAAUGCUGAUUGCAUGGAAAAGCUCAGUUUAGGGUUUAAAACCCUAAUGCUGGCUGAAUGGAAAAAGUUCAGUUUAGGGUUUAAAACCCUAAUGCUGACUAAAAGGAAAAUUAAGUUUAGGGUUUAAAACCCUAAUGCUGGCGGAAAGGAAAAGUUCAGUUUAGGGUUUAAAACCCUAAUGCUGAUUGCAUGGAAAAAGCUCAGUUUAGGGUUUAAAACCUUAAUGCUGGCUGAAAGGAAAAAGUUCAGUUUAGGGUUUAAAACCCUAAUGCUGAUUGCACGGGAAAAGCUCAGUUUAGGGUUUAAAACCCUAAUGCUGGCUGAAAAGGAAAAAGUUCAGUUUAGGGUUUAAAACCCUAAUGCUGACUGCAUGGAAAAAGCUCAGUUUAGGGUUUAAAACCCUAAUACUGGCUGAAAGGAAAAAGUUCAGUUUAGGGUUUAAAACCCUAAUGCUGACUGCAUGGAAAAAAGCUCAGUUUAGGGUUUAAAACCCUAAUGCUGGCGGAAAGGAAAAAGUUCAGUUUAGGGUUUAAAACCCUAAUGCUGACUAAAAGGAAAAUUCAGUUUAGAGUUUAAAACCCUAAUGCUGAUUGCAUGGAAAAAGCUCAGUUUAGGGUUUAAAACCCUAAUGUUGGCGGAAUGGAAAAAGUUCAGUUUAGGGUUUAAAACCCUAAUGCUGACUGCAUGGAAAAAGCUCAGUUUAGGGUUUAAAACCCUAAUGCUGGCUGAAAGGAAAAAGUUUAGUUUAGGGUUUAAAACCCUAAUGCUGACUGCAUGGAAAAAAGCUCAGUUUAGGGUUUAAAACCCUAAUGCUGGCGGAAAGGAAAAAGUUCAGUUAAGGGUUUAAAACCCUAAUGCUGACUAAAAGGAAAAUUCAGUUUAGGGUUUAAAACCCUAAUGCUGAUUGCAUGGAAAAAGCUCAGUUUAGGGUUUAAAACCCUAAUGCUGGCGGAAAGGAAAAAGUUCAGUUUAGGGUUUAAAACCCUAAUGCUGACUAAAAGGAAAAUUCAGUUUAGGGUUUAAAACCAUAAUGCUGAUUGCAUGAAAAAGCUCAGUUUAGGGUUUAAAACCCUAAUGCUGACUGCAUGAAAAAGCUCAGUUUAGGGUUUAAAACCCUAAUGUUGAUUAAAAGGAAAAUUCAGUUUAGGGGUUUAAAACCCUAAUGCUGAUUGCAUGGAAAAGCUCAGUUUAGGGGUUUAAAACCCUAAUGCUGGCUGAAUGGAAAAGUUCAGUUUAGGGUUUAAAACCCUAAUGCUGACUGCAUGGAAAAAGCUCAGUUUAGGGUUUAAAACCUUAAUGCUGGCUGAAAGGAAAAAGUUCAGUUUAGGGUUUAAAACCCUAAUGCUGACUGCAUGGAAAAAAGCUCAGUUUAGGGUUUAAAACCCUAAUGCUGGCGGAAAGGAAAAAGUUCAGUUUAGGGUUUAAAACCCUAAUGCUGACUAAAAGGAAAAUUCAGUUUAGGGUUUAAAACCCUAAUGUUGAUUGCAUGAAAAAGCUCAGUUUAGGGUUUAAAACCCUAAUGCUGACUAAAAGGAAAACUCAGUUUAGGGUUUAAAACCCUAAUGCUGAUUAAAAGGAAAAUUCAGUUUAGGGUUUAAAACCCUAAUGCUGAUUGCAUGGAAAAGCUCAGUUUAGGGUUUAAAACCCUAAUGCUAGCUGAAUGGAAAAGUUCAGUUUAGGGUUUAAAACCCUAAUGCUGACUGGCUGGGGACAAAAUUCGAGAACAACUACUGACUUCUUUUUUUUUUGAAUUUUCUUACUUUAGUACAAGAAAUAAAAAGGGAGUUUC